Molecule: transfer RNA, 65 nt
Filed under: Penthe kochi
Lineage: Eukaryota; Metazoa; Arthropoda; Insecta; Coleoptera; Tetratomidae
Description: tRNA-Asp
Source: RNAcentral
AAAAAUUUAGUUAAAUAAUAACACUAACUUGUCAUGUUAGAAUUAAUUUUUAAAAUUAAUUUUUA